UCGAGCGAACUGAUUAGAAGCUUGCUUCUAUGACGUUAGCGGCGGACGGGUGAGUAACACGUGGGCAACCUGCCUGUAAGACUGGGAUAACUUCGGGAAACCGAAGCUAAUACCGGAUAGGAUCUUCUCCUUCAUGGGAGAUGAUUGAAAGAUGGUUUCGGCUAUCACUUACAGAUGGGCCCGCGGUGCAUUAGCUAGUUGGUGAGGUAACGGCUCACCAAGGCAACGAUGCAUAGCCGACCUGAGAGGGUGAUCGGCCACACUGGGACUGAGACACGGCCCAGACUCCUACGGGAGGCAGCAGUAGGGAAUCUUCCGCAAUGGACGAAAGUCUGACGGAGCAACGCCGCGUGAGUGAUGAAGGCUUUCGGGUCGUAAAACUCUGUUGUUAGGGAAGAACAAGUACGAGAGUAACUGCUCGUACCUUGACGGUACCUAACCAGAAAGCCACGGCUAACUACGUGCCAGCAGCCGCGGUAAUACGUAGGUGGCAAGCGUUAUCCGGAAUUAUUGGGCGUAAAGCGCGCGCAGGCGGUUUCUUAAGUCUGAUGUGAAAGCCCACGGCUCAACCGUGGAGGGUCAUUGGAAACUGGGGAACUUGAGUGCAGAAGAGAAAAGCGGAAUUCCACGUGUAGCGGUGAAAUGCGUAGAGAUGUGGAGGAACACCAGUGGCGAAGGCGGCUUUUUGGUCUGUAACUGACGCUGAGGCGCGAAAGCGUGGGGAGCAAACAGGAUUAGA
This 739-nucleotide ribosomal RNA is filed under the name Bacillus sp. FJAT-4724. Its description in RNAcentral is "bacterial SSU rRNA". It matches the Rfam family "Bacterial small subunit ribosomal RNA", at positions 62 to 782 of the family's 1533-position model. The record is from RNAcentral. Lineage: Bacteria; Bacillati; Bacillota; Bacilli; Caryophanales; Bacillaceae.